ACAAGUAGCCACAAAUUGGAAUCCUCUUUUCAGACAUAUCAAGACUUCAUGAGAGAGAUGCGGGAUUUCCACUCCCGUGCACCAAGUAACCUUCCCCCCAUGGCCUUCCCGCCCCCCCCACCAUUUGACCCUAUUGGACCCCCAAGAUACCCAUGAUGGACCUCCA
Molecule: long non-coding RNA, 166 nt
Organism: Penaeus monodon (black tiger shrimp)
Lineage: Eukaryota; Metazoa; Arthropoda; Malacostraca; Decapoda; Penaeidae
Exons: 3
Source: RefSeq, a predicted model, not a curated record